RNAcentral lists this ribosomal RNA (756 nucleotides) under uncultured bacterium. RNAcentral's name for it is "bacterial SSU rRNA". It matches the Rfam family "Bacterial small subunit ribosomal RNA", at positions 85 to 828 of the family's 1533-position model. The record is from RNAcentral.
AUACAAGCGAGCGGCGGACGGGUGAGUAACACGUGGGUAACCUGCCCAAGAGACUGGGAUAACACCUGGAAACAGAUGCUAAUACCGGAUAACAACACUAGACGCAUGUCUAGAGUUUGAAAGAUGGUUCUGCUAUCACUCUUGGAUGGACCUGCGGUGCAUUAGCUAGUUGGUAAGGUAACGGCUUACCAAGGCAAUGAUGCAUAGCCGAGUUGAGAGACUGAUCGGCCACAUUGGGACUGAGACACGGCCCAAACUCCUACGGGAGGCAGCAGUAGGGAAUCUUCCACAAUGGACGAAAGUCUGAUGGAGCAACGCCGCGUGAGUGAAGAAGGGUUUCGGCUCGUAAAGCUCUGUUGGUAGUGAAGAAAGAUAGAGGUAGUAACUGGCCUUUAUUUGACGGUAAUUACUUAGAAAGUCACGGCUAACUACGUGCCAGCAGCCGCGGUAAUACGUAGGUGGCAAGCGUUGUCCGGAUUUAUUGGGCGUAAAGCGAGUGCAGGCGGUUCAAUAAGUCUGAUGUGAAAGCCUUCGGCUCAACCGGAGAAUUGCAUCAGAAACUGUUGAACUUGAGUGCAGAAGAGGAGAGUGGAACUCCAUGUGUAGCGGUGGAAUGCGUAGAUAUAUGGAAGAACACCAGUGGCGAAGGCGGCUCUCUGGUCUGCAACUGACGCUGAGGCUCGAAAGCAUGGGUAGCGAACAGGAUUAGAUACCCUGGUAGUCCAUGCCGUAAACGAUGAGUGCUAAAGUGUUGGG